This 253-nucleotide ribosomal RNA is filed under the name uncultured bacterium. RNAcentral describes it as "partial 16S ribosomal RNA". It matches the Rfam family "Bacterial small subunit ribosomal RNA", at positions 524 to 776 of the family's 1533-position model. The record is from RNAcentral.
GACGAACCGUGCGAACGUUGUUCGGAAUCACUGGGCUUAAAGGGCGCGUAGGCGGGCGAUCAAGUCAGAGGUGAAAUCCCACGGCUCAACCGUGGAAGUGCCCCUGAUACUGGUUGUCUCGAGGGAGAUAGGGGCGUGCGGAACUUUUGGUGGAGCGGUGAAAUGCGUAGAUAUCAAAAGGAACACCGGUGGCGAAAGCGGCGCGCUGGAUCUCUACUGACGCUGAGGCGCGAAAGCCAGGGGAGCGAACGGG